UCUUUUAACAGAUGUGCCGCCC
Molecule: non-coding RNA, 22 nt
Filed under: Arabidopsis thaliana (thale cress)
Lineage: Eukaryota; Viridiplantae; Streptophyta; Magnoliopsida; Brassicales; Brassicaceae
Source: RNAcentral